GGUCGACCACAAUCUUCGUGACAGCAUCUUUGGGAUCGGUGAGCGACUCGGUGUCCUAGCCGCUGGACCCGAAAAGAAGUAACCAACCGGAAUGCAAGGGACGCUGUCAUUGGGAGUGAUGACGUUUCUUUGGCGCUGCGAAAUAAAGGUGUUUUGCAAAUUGA
Molecule: long non-coding RNA, 164 nt
Organism: Ornithodoros turicata
Lineage: Eukaryota; Metazoa; Arthropoda; Arachnida; Ixodida; Argasidae
Exons: 3
Source: RefSeq, a predicted model, not a curated record